Molecule: ribosomal RNA, 405 nt
Filed under: uncultured bacterium
Lineage: Bacteria
Description: partial 16S ribosomal RNA
Rfam family: Bacterial small subunit ribosomal RNA
Source: RNAcentral
GACGAACGCUGGCGGCGUGCUUAACACAUGCAAGUCGAGCGGCGCGGCGAACGGGUGAGUAACGCGUGAGUAACUGCCCCCCUCUCUGGGAUAACAGUUGGAAACGGCUGCUAAUACCGGAUAGUGGGGGAUGACUCGCGUCCUAGCAGCGUGUGGGUGGGGUAGUGGCCUACCACGGCGACGACGGGUACCCGGCCUGAGAGGGCGACCGGCCAAAUGGGGCUGAGAGACGGCCCAAAAGCCUACGGUAGGCAGCAGGGGGGAAUAUUGCACAAGGGGGGAAACCGUGAUGCAGCAACGCCGGGGGCGGGAUGACGGCCUUCGGGUUGUAAACCGCUUUCAGCCAUGACGCGGUAGUGGCAGAAGAAGCACCGGCUAACUACGUGCCAGCAGCCGCGGUAAUAC